CCUUUUUUUUUUUUUUUUUUUUUUUUUGACACAAUGUGUAGUUGAAAGACUCUCCAUCAGAUGAUUUCUAUAUGCAUUUAAAUUCCUAAAGUUCAUCAGAGAGGGCCUUAUUUCCUGGGUAGAUGACAAAAUGCAGAUUUCCAGAGGUGACUUCAUCAUCUCUUUCCUCUCCCCUAGCCCGUGCUUGUCCACAAAACACACUCUAAAACAAUACAGACAGAAGCAGGAAGCCAGAUCUAAUAUUUCAAUACUAUCAGAGCAGACUUCAAAAGCAGGCAAAAUGAAAGUUUUUAUAUUGUUACUUCAAGUAAAUGUCCUAGAAUCAAAUGCCUGGGGAAGGUUACAUUUAUCUGUUACUCAGGAAUCCAACUCCUUAGGACAAAUCUUUGAAGUUAUGCCAAGAGCAGGUGGCAUAAAGGCAGAAGCUCAAGGGAAGAGACACUAAAUGCCUAGGGAAUGGGUACCU
RNAcentral lists this long non-coding RNA (466 nucleotides) under Rattus norvegicus (Norway rat). RNAcentral describes it as "long non-coding RNA NONRATT022425". The record is from RNAcentral. Lineage: Eukaryota; Metazoa; Chordata; Mammalia; Rodentia; Muridae.